Molecule: ribosomal RNA, 504 nt
Filed under: uncultured bacterium
Lineage: Bacteria
Description: partial 16S ribosomal RNA
Rfam family: Bacterial small subunit ribosomal RNA
Source: RNAcentral
AUUGAACGCUGGCGGCAUGCCUUACACAUGCAAGUCGAACGGCAGCAUGGAGAGCUUGCUCUCUGAUGGCGAGUGGCGAACGGGUGAGUAAUGCAUCGGAACGUACCGUGUAAUGGGGGAUAACGUAGCGAAAGUUACGCUAAUACCGCAUACGACCUGAGGGUGACAGCAGGGGAUCGCAAGACCUUGCGUUAUACGAGCGGCCGAUGUCAGAUUAGCUAGUGGGUGAGGUAAAGGCUAACCAAGGCGACGAUCUGUAGCGGGUCUGAGAGGAUGAUCCGCCACACUGGGACUGAGACACGGCCCAGACUCCUACGGGAGGCAGCAGUGGGGAAUUUUGGACAAUGGGGGCAACCCUGAUCCAGCCAUGCCGCGUGAGUGAAGAAGGCCUUCGGGUUGUAAAGCUCUUUCGGCCGGGAAGAAAUCGCACAGGCUAAUACUCUGUGUGGAUGACGGUACCGGCAUAAGAAGCACCGGCUAACUACGUGCCAGCAGCCGCCGUAA